RNAcentral lists this unclassified non-coding RNA (220 nucleotides) under uncultured Tomentella. Its description in RNAcentral is "sequence contains ITS2". The record is from RNAcentral. Lineage: Eukaryota; Fungi; Basidiomycota; Agaricomycetes; Thelephorales; Thelephoraceae.
ACACCUCAACUCUUCAUGGUUUUUCCAUGAUGGGCUUGGACUUUGGGGGUCUUGCUGGCCUGUGGUCAGCUCCUCUCAAAUGAAUCAGCUUUCCAGUGUUUGGCAGCAUCACAGGUGUGAUAACUAUCUACGCUUGUGGUUUUCUGCCAGGUAAUCCUCAGCAAUGGGGAUUCGCUGGGGCUCAUAAAUGUCUCUCCUCAGUGAAGACAGCUUUGUGAAC